GCUAUUGUUAGAAAUUUUGAAACGAAUGCUUAGUUUUUAUACGCCAACUCUGUGUUAUAUGUUAUGGAUUGACGUCCAAGUUUCUAUGGUGCCAUUAGAAAUACGUUAUGUUGAAAUUUUUGAAAAGUAGACUAAGGUAUUGGAUGCGACAGAUAAUGAACCUUGGGGUCCUCAUGGCACUGCAUUGGCUCAAUUCUCAAAUAGCACAGGUCACUAAGAAAUUCUCUGAAUGUCAGUUAGUAAUGAAUGUUCUGUGGACAAGAUUGGGUGAAAAUGGCAAGGACUGGCGUUAUGUUUACAAGGUAGCAUAUUCCUUCAUUAUUGCAGUAUCAACCUAAAGAUUCGUAUAUAAAAAAUCUUUUAAUAUUAAGAGCGGCUGACUGGGCAAAGCUUGAGUUUGUGCAGCUUCAUGGAGACAGUUCUCAAGCAGCAUUUCCAGAAUUAGUGCAAGAAAACCCAAUAAUUUAUGUUCUUCAUGCAAAUGAAAAUGGGGACCUUCUAAACCAGAUUUAUGAUAAAAGAGUGUUCUUUGGUGUUUUCUAUUUUAUCUCUGGAUCUGAUUCAGAUCUGUGAAAUUUCCUAUUGGAUCUUCAAAAUUUUGGCUGUUAUUUUAAUUUUUUUUUUUUUUAAAUUGUUUUUCGUUAUAUAUGUGUUUUACCUGGGCGUCAGUAAUGUACGGGAUCUUUCUAUACAUCAAUAGCUCCGCUGUUCACUGGAGUCUCGGUGUACACAUCAGCUUCGUUAGAUGUGUUUUACCUGGGCGUCAGUAAUGUACUGGAUCUUUCUAUGCAUCGAUUACUCCACUGUUCACCGGAGUCUCGGUAUACACAUCAACUUUGUUAGGAUUGAGUACUGGUGGCCUAUUUCAGCUCAAAAUUUUCAACUUCCACAGUAGGCGAAUCCAAGGUGUAAAGGGAGGGAACUUAGAAAUUUUCUUUUAAUGAUGAGGAGCGUGAAAAGAAUGUAGCUUUGGUUAAGAUGUGUGGGAUUACAUCAGCUAAAGAUGCUGCUAUAGCAGCAGAAGCUGGUGCUAAUUUAUUGGAAUGAUUAUUUAGCCAAACUCCAAGCGGUCGGUUUCGCCUGCAGUUGCUAAAGAGAUUUCAAAUUUUCAAGAGAAUAUGGGGCAGAGCCUGUUGGGGUGUUUGAGGAUGAUGACGCAGAGACGAUAUUGAGAGCUGCUAACUAGGCAAAGCUUGAGUUUGUGCAGGUAUAUAUGGUUUUCUGGUAUUGAAUUCCUUGAAAUUUUUGAUGGGAAUCGACCAGAUAAACAUCCUUUACCCAAGAAUACUUUUUUCUAUGCUAAGCUGCUACUGAAUUGAAUUGCUGCUGAAUGAAUUGCUAUGGUUAUUGUUGUUUUUCUAUGCUAAACUGCUGCUGAAUUGAAUUGUUGAGGUUAAUUGAUUGUCUAUGCUGAGCUGUCGUUGAUUUGAAUGAUUGAGGUUAAUGUUGAGAUUCUCUACUGAGUGUUUAUGGACAGAGUGUUUAUGCUGCUGAGGAAGAGGGUGUUUGUGUAUGAUGAUGCAGAGACGAUAUUAAGAGCUGAUGACUGGGGAAAGCUUGAGUUUGUGCAGAGUGUUUAUGCUGCUGAGGAAGAGCUGUUGCCAGUUGCCAGAUUUUUCUGCUGUAAGUGUUGUUGCCAGUUGACAGAUUUUUCUGCUGAAGAGUUGUUGCCAGGUGUGAUAAGAACGGCGAUGGGUUGCUAUCAGAGGAGGUAUAGGAGGUCAUAGUCUUGAGUGCCUCUGCAAAUAAGCUCUCAAAUUCUUAAAGAUAACGUUGCAGCAUUUGCAGGCAGAUCCUGACCUGAAGGGAUAUUUAGAGAUGUGACAACUAGAAAUUCUACUACGAGGAAUUGUCUCGGAUAAUGGCAACAAGGUGCGCCAUAGCAACUAAGGCAAUUAAAAUAUAUAUUUAGUCAUUUUUUAAAUUUAACUCAAAUCAAUCUUCUUGAAUUAAGGCAAAUAUAUCUAUAUUGUAUCUUUAAAAUUAGACAAAAUUAAUAUUACUCUUUAAAUAUCAGUGAUCUUGAUAGGCUAUUUAUGUUAAAAUU
Pistacia vera is the source of this 2047-nucleotide long non-coding RNA. RefSeq lists it as uncharacterized. NCBI's taxonomy places the organism in Eukaryota, Viridiplantae, Streptophyta, Magnoliopsida, Sapindales, Anacardiaceae. The transcript has 10 exons. The record is from RefSeq and is a predicted model, not a curated record.